CAGUCGCCACGGGAAUACGAAGGGGGCUAGCGUUGUUCGGAUUAACUGGGCGUAAAGGGCGCGUAGGCGGGUUUUUAAGUCAGAGGUGAAAUCCCAAGGCUCAACCUUGGAACUGCCUUUGAUACUGGAAGUCUUGAGUCCGGGAGAGGUGAGUGGAACUGCGAGUGUAGGGGUGAAAUUCGUAGAUAUUCGCAAGAACACCAGUGGCGAAGGCGGCUCACUGGCCCGGUACUGACGCUGAGGCGCGAAAGCGUGGGGAGCAAACAGGAUUAGAUACCCCUGUAGUCCCUGUCUCUUAUAC
RNAcentral lists this ribosomal RNA (301 nucleotides) under uncultured bacterium. Its description in RNAcentral is "partial 16S ribosomal RNA". It matches the Rfam family "Bacterial small subunit ribosomal RNA", at positions 509 to 807 of the family's 1533-position model. The record is from RNAcentral.